GCCUUGCCGGAUUUCGGUCAAGGUCCAUUCAUAGCUUUUCGAAUUUUAUUUUCGCACCCGACGCGUACCGAAAACGCCCGAAUGCUCCCGAACUUCACCGGAACCACACUAAUGGCUUUCCAAACUAACAUACACCGUAACUUCAUAAUUAUAGAAGUUCAGUAUGCUACACUAGACCUCCACCAGCUUCCUUACGUACAGGGACUCUUUCAUCUUCUUCUCUUUUCAUUUCUUUCUCCUUUUAUUUCUUUCUCCUUCUCUCUCUAAACCUAUGAAGAGUGGAUUUUGAGAAGGAAAAGUAUGUGGAGUUGUUGUUAUUGGGUUGUGAGGAGGUUCAUAGGCUGGGUGGAAUCUGGUGGAGUACAACCCGAGGUAAGUUGGUGAUGUCUCUUUGUUAGGGAUUGUUUUAAUU
This 412-nucleotide long non-coding RNA is filed under the name Ananas comosus (pineapple). Its description in RNAcentral is "long non-coding RNA (ACOM_LNC017766)". The record is from RNAcentral. Lineage: Eukaryota; Viridiplantae; Streptophyta; Magnoliopsida; Poales; Bromeliaceae.